UGGUGGAGCGAUUUGUCUGGUUAAUUCCGUUAACGAACGAGACCUCAGCCUGCCAACUAGCUAUGCGGAGGUGAUCCUCCGUGGCCAGCUUCUUAGAGGGACUAUGGCCGCUUAGGCCAAGGAAGUUUGAGGCAAUAACA
RNAcentral lists this ribosomal RNA (140 nucleotides) under uncultured eukaryote. RNAcentral's name for it is "partial 18S ribosomal RNA". It matches the Rfam family "Eukaryotic small subunit ribosomal RNA", at positions 1299 to 1458 of the family's 1831-position model. The record is from RNAcentral.